GUCUCUGUGGCGCAGUCAGUUAGCAUGUUUGGCUGUUAACUGAAAGAUUGGUGGUUUGAGCCUACCCAGGGACG
RNAcentral lists this transfer RNA (74 nucleotides) under Mesitornis unicolor (brown roatelo). It matches the Rfam family "tRNA". Rfam says of the family: Transfer RNA (tRNA) molecules are approximately 80 nucleotides in length. The record is from Rfam by way of RNAcentral. Lineage: Eukaryota; Metazoa; Chordata; Aves; Mesitornithiformes; Mesitornithidae.